Molecule: long non-coding RNA, 641 nt
Filed under: Pan troglodytes (chimpanzee)
Lineage: Eukaryota; Metazoa; Chordata; Mammalia; Primates; Hominidae
Description: long non-coding RNA NONPTRT018371
Source: RNAcentral
AUCCAGGUCUUCCAGUCAAUCAGUGUCUUCCAGAAAGAAAUCCAGGUCUUCCAGUCAGUGUCUUCCAGAAAAAUCUAUGUCUUCCACCAAAUCCAGGUCUUCCAGUCAAUCCACAUCUUCCGGAAAAAAUCCAGGUCUUCCAGCCAAUAUAUGUCUUCCUGAAGAUCCAUGUCUUCCAGAAAAUCCAUGUCUUCCAGAAAAUCCACGUCUUCCAGUAACCUCCCAGUCUUCCAGAAAAUCCACGUCUUCCCAACAAUCCAGGUCUUCCGGAUAAUUUGGGUCUUCCUGAAAAUCUACGUCUUCCAGGAAAUCCGUGUCUUCCAGCAAAUCCACGUCUUCCAACAAAGCCAUGUCUUCCAUCAAAUUAAUGUCUUCCAGCCUACUUGUGUCUUCCAACAAAGGUGUGUCUUCCAACAAAGGUACGUCUUCCAACAAAGGUACGUCUUCCAACAAAGGUCUUCCAGCAUCUCCAGGGCUUCCAGCAUCUGCUCGUCUUCCAACAUCUCCACGUCUUCCAGCAUCUCUACGUCUUCCAGCAUCUUCAUGUCUUCCAACAACUACCCAGUCUUCCAUCAACUGGCUCAAUAUCCAUGUCUUCCAACGUCUCCAGUGUGCUGAUCUUCUGACAUUCAGGUCUUCCA